This 284-nucleotide unclassified non-coding RNA is filed under the name Hevea brasiliensis (rubber tree). Lineage: Eukaryota; Viridiplantae; Streptophyta; Magnoliopsida; Malpighiales; Euphorbiaceae. The record is from RNAcentral.
AUCAUAAACAGCAUCUUUUAGCUCUUCAAGCCACUUCUUUACAUUCUUGUUCCUGAUUUGCUUCUCCUCAGCAUCAUCAAGCACAACGUUAACAGACAACAAGGUUAUCUCUAACCGCUUAAGCAGCUCACUAUUAAGCUUCUUUCCCUUGAUAAAGUCAACGACCUCGUGAGAAGCAAUCCUAUCAAACAGCACCUGAAGGGAAGCAGAUAGAAAAGCACCACCCACCACAGCCCCUGCCAUGUUUAAUUGCAGGAGGAAAUUGGAACGAUAUUGCAAGUAAG